This 393-nucleotide ribosomal RNA is filed under the name uncultured bacterium. Its description in RNAcentral is "partial 16S ribosomal RNA". It matches the Rfam family "Bacterial small subunit ribosomal RNA", at positions 523 to 918 of the family's 1533-position model. The record is from RNAcentral.
AUACGGAGGAUCCGAGCGUUAUCCGGAUUUAUUGGGUUUAAAGGGUGCUCAGGCGGGGGAUUAAGUCGGCGGUGAAAUUUUGCAGCUCAACUGUAAAAGUGCCUUCGAAACUGGUUUCCUUGAGUGUGGAUGAGGUAGGCGGAAUUUGUGGUGUAGCGGUGAAAUGCAUAGAUAUCACGAGGAACUCCGAUUGCGCAGGCAGCUUACUAAACUACUACUGACGCUCAGGCACGAAGGCGUGGGGAUCAAACAGGAUUAGAUACCCUGGUAGUCCACGCAGUAAACGAUGAUUACUAGCUGUUUGCGAUACAAUGUAAGCGGCUGAGCGAAAGCGUUAAGUAAUCCACCUGGGGAGUACGUUCGCAAGAAUGAAACUCAAAUGAAUUGACGGGG